This 327-nucleotide ribosomal RNA is filed under the name uncultured bacterium. Its description in RNAcentral is "bacterial SSU rRNA". It matches the Rfam family "Bacterial small subunit ribosomal RNA", at positions 570 to 898 of the family's 1533-position model. The record is from RNAcentral.
CGUAGGUGGUUUUGUAAGCGCGGGGUGAAAGGCAAUAGCUCAACUAUUGUAAGCCUUGCGAACUGUAAGACUUGAGUGCAGGAGAGGAAAGCGGAAUUCCUAGUGUAGCGGUGAAAUGCGUAGAUAUUAGGAGGAACACCAGUGGCGAAGGCGGCUUUCUGGACUGUAACUGACACUGAGGCACGAAAGCGUGGGGAGCAAACAGGAUUAGAUACCCUGGUAGUCCACGCCGUAAACGAUGAGCACUAGGUGUCGGGGCCGCAAGGUUUCGGUGCCGCAGUUAACGCAUUAAGUGCUCCGCCUGGGGAGUACGCACGCAAGUGUGAA